CCUACGGGCGGCAGCAGUGGGGAAUAUUUGGCAAUGGACGCAAGUCUGACCCAGCAACGCCGCGUGAAGGAAGAAGGCUUUCGGGUUGUAAACUUCUGUUAAGGGGGAAGAGAAGAAGACGGUACCCCUUGAAUAAGCCACGGCUAACUACGUGCGAGCAGCCGCGGUAAUACGUAGGUGGCAAGCGUUGUCCGGAUUUACUGGGUGUAAAGGGCGGGCAGGCGGAGAGACAAGUCAGGUGUGAAAGCAACGGGCUCAACCCGUGAUCUGCAUUUGAAACUGGUUACCUUGAGUGUCGGAGAGGUAAUCGGAAUUCCUUGUGUAGCGGUGAAAUGCGUAGAUAUAAGGAAGAACACCAGUGGCGAAGGCGGAUUACUGGACGAUAACUGACGGUGAGGCGCGAAAGCGUGGGGAGCAAACAGGAUUAGAUACCCGUGUAGUC
This 442-nucleotide ribosomal RNA is filed under the name uncultured bacterium. RNAcentral describes it as "partial 16S ribosomal RNA". It matches the Rfam family "Bacterial small subunit ribosomal RNA", at positions 338 to 795 of the family's 1533-position model. The record is from RNAcentral.